This 501-nucleotide ribosomal RNA is filed under the name uncultured bacterium. RNAcentral's name for it is "partial 16S ribosomal RNA". It matches the Rfam family "Bacterial small subunit ribosomal RNA", at positions 29 to 523 of the family's 1533-position model. The record is from RNAcentral.
AUUGAACGCUGGCGGCAUGCCUUACACAUGCAAGUCGAACGGCAGCACGGGUGCUUGCACCUGGUGGCGAGUGGCGAACGGGUGAGUAAUACAUCGGAACGUACCUUAUCGUGGGGGAUAACGCAGCGAAAGCUGUGCUAAUACCGCAUACGCCCUGAGGGGGAAAGCGGGGGAUCGAAAGACCUCGCGCGAUUAGAGCGGCCGAUGCCUGAUUAGCUUGUUGGUGGGGUAAAAGCCCACCAAGGCGACGAUCAGUAGCUGGUCUGAGAGGACGCUCAGCCACACUGGGACGGAGACACGGCCCAGGCUCCUACGGGAGGCAGCAGUGGGGAAUUUUGGACAAUGGGGGCAACCCUGAUCCAGCAAUGCCGCGUGAGUGAAGAAGGCCUUCGGGUUGUAAAGCUCUUUUGUCAGGGAAGAAACACCGGCUCUAACACAGUCCGGGAAUGACGGUACCUGAAGAAUAAGCACCGGCUAACUACGUGCCAGCCGCCGCCGUAA